This 402-nucleotide long non-coding RNA is filed under the name Bos taurus (domestic cattle). Its description in RNAcentral is "long non-coding RNA NONBTAT012029". Lineage: Eukaryota; Metazoa; Chordata; Mammalia; Artiodactyla; Bovidae. The record is from RNAcentral.
GGUCUAGAAGUCAUGGAAAAGAAAAUCAUAACAGUCUAUAGCCUCCUCUCAGAGGACAAAAUCCACCAGCAUUAAUCAGCCCUUUUACUUUGGCAGGGAUGCCUUAUCUCUUUCUUCUAAGCAGACACAGUGCCUGCAGCCGAAUGAGCAAUCGUGACAAUUAAUAAUAAUAUUUUGCACUUGGAAUUUUCCCCCCGGCAGCAGCUGCUCUGAAAGCAUCUACUCAUUCAGCCACACAGUAGCAGCCAAUCAAUCAGUCUAUAGGAGCUCAGGGAGCAUCCGCUGCCAGCCUCUCAGCCCGCGCUGGACGCUUGGAGGACCUGGCAGCCUAGGAAACAGUUCCAGCACUCAGCGAGCUUGGGUGGGGAGCGAGGCUGUCACUGACUGUCACCAGGCCUCUGC